This 8340-nucleotide long non-coding RNA is filed under the name Malus domestica (apple). Its description in RNAcentral is "long non-coding RNA (MDOM_LNC013229)". Lineage: Eukaryota; Viridiplantae; Streptophyta; Magnoliopsida; Rosales; Rosaceae. The record is from RNAcentral.
ACGUCAAGCCCAUUAACUUAAGUUGUAUGACAAUUUAAUGAAUAAAGAUUCAAAAAGGCCCAAAAGCCCAAAUCCCUUUAGGUGGCCGGCCAUGAAGGAGAAAAUUGGUUUUGGUUCUUUAGGUCACUUAUUUGAAGAGACUAUAUAAAGGACUUUAUAGCCUAAAAUUCAUUAAGGGCUUCUUUUUGGAGAAAAUUGGUGAGAACAUGUCUCUCCUUUUCUCUCUCUAGGAGGAAGGCCACCUUGGAGGGUACAUCUAGCAAUCCUACUACUCCAAGGUCACUCAUUUCUUCUACAAUCUAACCUUGGUGAAGAGACUUAGAGGUUCUCAAUUUUGGGAACUUGGAGAACCAUAUUCUUCCAUCCAAAUCCAUGGAUCUAAGAAUGCAAGGAAUGAAGGCCCUCUCUUUGGGUGAUUAGCCUUUGCUUAUGCAAAGAGGAAUCUACAAAGGUAUAAAUUUUCAACUCACUUUGUUUUGAGUUGAUUAAUGGUUCACCAAUCUACUAGGCUUUGAAUUUCUUGGUUAAUGUUUUGUUUUUUAAGUGCAUGCUAGCAUGAUUCCGCCUUUAAUUGUUAAUUGCAUGCUAUAUGAUGUUGCUUAAAUGAACAUGUUUUCACAAAAUAUUCCUUUCAAGUGGUAUCAGAGCCUAGGUCUAGUAGUUGGUGAAUCCUUUUGGGUUUUGGGUUUUGUAGUUCAUAGUUUGUGAUUUAAAAGUUGUAAUAUGUUACAAGCUUUAUUCUUGUUUCUUUGAAUGUAAAUUUUGUUAGAAAAUUUGCCAUCUCAAAUGUUGUAGAUGUAGUUCAUAUGAGCAUGAAUAUUGGAGCUAAAAUUUGGUGCCAUGACUUUGGGAAAAUUCGGCCAAAUCCAAAGGGUGGAUUUUUGGGUUCUUGUUUGACUUGUUAAAAGUGUUUUCAAGUGACUUUUGGAACCCCUAUGUACCCUAGUUUGGUUAUAUGUUAUUUCCCUAAAGUUUGAAUGGUUUUGGGAUGUUUUUGGAUGAAAAAUGUUCAUGGAGCUCUUAUGGGUUUUCAUGGAUGUUCUUCAUUGUUCUUGACAUUUUUGCCAAGAACAAAAAAAGGUUUGAUGUUUUGAUUCAAAGUUUUGGUUAAUUUCAUAAAGUCUUUGUUUUGUGUUGGUUGAUGUGAAUUUUCUAUCACCAAAACAUUUAUUUUGAAAGGUGAUAGAAAUUGUGAUGGGUGUGUAAGACCUUACACACCUUACACACCACAUGCAUGGUUUUAUGAUUCACAACAACCAAAUUCCACUUGCAAGGCUUUAUGACUUAGUUGAAAAAAUUUCCAAAUUUUUGUGGACUUAUCUCCACUCCCUUUCCCUCUCUAAAAACCGGCCCUCCCUCAAUGGGAGUACUUUUGGGUCUUUUAUGCAAUUACAUAAAGUUUUGAUACUUUUGUGUAUUUGCACUUUGGCCCAAAAGUUUACGUUUUUACGUUUAGGUCCAAAAACGCUAAAGGACAAAUUGUUUUGCUCCUUUAAUGAAGUUUUUGCAUUGAUUAAAUUUUGGGUUCUAUUGUAAUUACAUGAAGUAGUGGACUUUUGUGUCUUUACAAAGUGACCCCAAAAGUUUUGCAAUAUAGCCCAAAAGUUGAGGUUAAUUGCUUUAUGGCCCAAAUUAGGUAGAGAACAAAAUUGUUUUGUCUCUUUAAAUGAGAAUUGGAUUUUCAUUUUGUUUAGCUCCAUUUAAAUCAAUUUUAUGGAUACAAAAACCAAAUGAAAAUGUUGCAUUCAAUUUAAUUAGUUAAAGUGUUAAUUAAUUAAAGGGUGAUUAUGAACCUAAGCCUAAUAUAAUUGAGCUAUGUGAAAGGCCGUUUCAAAUUUGUUUGAACCAUGGGAAUGAGUAGAUUAGAUUUUGGUUGUAAUUUGAUUUGAUCAAAUGUUGUAAAAGGGCUUAAGCUCUUCUUUACUUUAAAGUAAUUUGUUAUAUGCAAAUGUUGUAAUGAGCAUAAGCUCACCUUUACUUUGAAGUACUUCUUUCUUGCUUUAUUUGAUAUGCAUGAAAAUGAAGUAGUUGGGUCCAACGCCCCUAAGACAACACGCCUUAAUGUGAUUAAACGCGUAACUAAAAUCAAUCACCAUCCCUAGACCGAGAUUCAACACUAGGCUCGUGUUGGAUCUAAUCAAAGGUUCAUAGUCAUCCUAAGGCCCUAAGGCAACUAUAUAGUCCAUCAAAUGAAUGCAAAGUUUAUGUUAGUAGUAUCAUAUACUCUUGCUUUAAAAAAACCGUUUUAUAAGCAUAGUGGGAGUAUUAUAUACAACUAAAACAAUCAUAUGGACCAAUAGUUGUAAUAGGACCAAAAUUGUUUUAAUAAAGAUUAAAAUGUAUGUUUAUAUGUGAUGAGACCUAAAACCCUCAACCAAACCAUUAUUAAGUUGAUAAGCGGAGAGUGCUUUGAACACUCUUUCGUGGCCUUCCACCGUGGUAGGCUCCAAUCGUUUGUGACUCGUACACCGGCUUCACCCUAUAAUGGGGGAGUACAAAGUGCGUGCUUACACUCAGGAGGAGUUCUAUAUACAUACAUGAUGAAGUGAGGUAGGCAACGAGUUUAGCCAACAUGAUAUCAUUCUGAGGCUAUUGCUUGAACCCCUACACGAACUAGGCAUGGUGGGAAUGACUUAACUAAGUGCAAUGGAGCCAACAUGAUAUCAUUGUGAGGCAUCAUUCUCUAGAGGCCAAAUAAGAUGGGUACUUGCAAUUAGAUGCAAAUGAGUAAGCGUACUCUCUCAUUAUUAUUAAUGCUAGCCAACAUGAUAUAAUUCUGAGGUGGGCUUGGUAAUAGUGAGCCUCCCAUAACCUACUAAGAGUUUCCUCCAAAACUCUCGAAUUCCAAUGAGGGAUAUGGAAUUUGCCAAAAAUAGUGGGUGGUGCUAUUUGAUUUAAAGACCCAGAUCAAAUGGCUUAAAAUCAAUCAAUUUAUAUUCGUUAUGUAUUUGUUUACCAAUAUAUUUGCAAACGCUAUCCAACACUUGACAAAUAAAACCGAAUGUUUUAGUUUCCGGACUUGGUACCACAAUCCCAAAGAAUGUCUUAAUAAAUGGAUUGCAUAUGUACCUAAGUAGUCUCAUCCUCACAAUCUUCCUAUUGAUAAUGUAUCAUUGGAAGAACAUGUUAGAAAAGUCUAUCAUGAAGAGGACAACACAAACAACCAAUGCUUAAUCCUUUGUUAAAUGAACAAAGGAACUUACGAAGAUUAGCAUAAUGACAAGGACACUUUUAGUGUUAUUAGUUCUUCACUUACAAAUCGUUGUAUGAAGAAAUAAGAGUUGCUUUGAACAACCCUUAGUCAAUGCAAACACUUAGUGCUUGUUUCUUUGUUAAAUGAACAAAGAACUUGAGAAGAAAGCACAAAGGCAUGGACACUUUAUGUGCCAUGAUUCUUCACUUACAAAUUGUUGUAUGAAGAAAUGAGAGUUGCCUUGUACAACUCUUGAAAGUUUGUAAUUAUGUUUAGAACAUAAUGGUUGGUUGACAAAAAUAGUCCAUUAACAUGGACUUAUGAUGAUUUUUGAAUCAUUGAGUGUUGAAGUGAUAAACCACUUAACGAGACGGAAACUAGGCAAGGACUUCACCUUUGUGUCCCUAUCCUAAUGGUUCACUAAGUUUAUUGUAAACUAUGUAGUGAACAAUAACCACAUGCUCUCCAAAAUGUUUGAUGUGUAUAACACAAUUGAAAUAAGUUUCAAGAGAGAUAGUGGGAGUUUAGGGACCAUGACUAUUGUAGUCAAAGGAGAAGUCAAAUGAAGAAGAUAAAAUUAACUCCAAGGGAACAAACUUUCUUUAUGAAAGGAUGGACAUUGGAAGGGGUAUUUGCAAGAAAUGUCUUGCAAGUGUCAAGAACACACCUUUCGAAGGUGUUGUAAAUUGUUCUUGAAUAGUUCAAAACAGUUGGUUCUUCUACUUGAAUGCUUGAUUCCGUAUUAGUAACUAUGUUUUACAAUCGUUGUAAAAGUGUGACUAAUAAGAAGUAAAAGAUAUAUGAGAGAAGAAAAAGGUGCUUCACAUUCGGAACGUGAAUAAAAUAUAGAUCUCUGCGAAAGCAGAUAGUACUUACUUCCUCAUAUGAACUACCAAAGAAAUUGAAAAAAAAACCAAAGAUUGUCUUUACAUUCCAAUUUUAAGGAAUUUAAUUCCGUCACUAUAGUAGAGAUGGAUGAAUGUUUUGUUUGACAAAACAUUGUUCUUUAUUAAUCAAUGAUUGGAUUAUGGUAAUCUAAUUGAUUGUCUCUAUAGUAGAGAUAAUAUGGUGGUGUUAACUGUUUAGAAUAUAAUGAUGCUUAAAACCCAAAAGGUUGCAAGGUAGUGACUAAUCCCAACUAAAGUUGUGAUACCUCUAAAACAUAAAUUACGAGUUGGUCAUAGAUGGACGCUUUGGAUCGUUAGAUCCGGAUCCAAUACCUUCUUGUUAAAAUUGUAUAGAGGCGAAAUGUUCGAAUCUUUAUUCUUUUGGAAAGAAGAAAGAAUCACAAAGUUGUUGAGGUUAAUUCACUUAGAUGUUAGUGGCACUUGUCCACAAACAUAAUACUACUCAUGUUGUGUGACAUUCACCGAAGAUCACUCUCGGUUGGACUAUAGUUUAUUUUGAAUAAACACAAGUCCGAAUACUUUGCAAAAUGUUUUAAAGAAUUCAAGAAAUGUAAGUUGAUGAGUAAGACAUCUAAAGUAUUUACCUCCUUAGAUUUGAUCCAAGGAAAGGUAACACUUUAGAUGAGUUUCCUUGAAAGAUAUCAAGGAAAAUAGCAUCAUAAGAUAAUGUAUUUCUCCAUUAGGAGAAGAACGAACUCGAAUAAGAUUUAGUUCGUUAGAUGUUAUCUAUUACCCAUAUAUAGGAUAUAUACUUCUAAAAACAAUAUGAUUGUCAAUUAGAAGAUCUUCCAAAUUUUUCAUGACUCCAUAAGAUGUAGUUGGAAAGAAAAACAAAUCUUAAAACAUGUUAAGAUUUGGGGUUGUGUGUUAAUAAACAAUAUUUGUUUGAUAACAAUCUUGUGGGAUAUCCUUAAAUUAACUUUUGGAUAUCGCUUCUAUAAACCAACUAACAAAUGUUGUUUUGUUGGGUAGUUCAUUGUAAUCCUACAAUGUGAUUUGCCUAAGAGCAAAUGAACGAGAGAUAGAACUCAAAGAAUGGUUCUUUGAGAGACAAGAUAAUAAUCAACAAAUAAAACAACCUAGUUCCUAUACCAAAAGCUCCAAGGUAGUCGAUAAGGAUUUAUAAACCGUCUCAGUUGAAUGGUUUUUUGAACUUUAUGACUAAGUCAUAGAGUUGCACCUCUUAAUUCGAAAGAACUAAGAAUGAAAAUCCUUAUGACUACAAUGAGUGUAUAUAUAUGAUAUAUACUCAAGGAAAUGGUAAAGUACCAUUUGACUCGAAAUAAUGAAACCUUCAUAGCUAAUUGGUAGCUUAAGGUGACUACAAUCAAAGAGAAUGGUUGACUUUGAAGGAAUCAUUUUUUACGUAGUCUUAGUUUCAAUUAAUUCGAAGAUUGCUAGCUACAACUAAAUGGUGAUUCAAUGUUUGGACAUAAUAUGGGUUUCCGAAACCAUUAUUAAGAUAGUCUUGAUAAUAUAUGUCUAAAACUAUAAAUCACAAGACAUGUAAGUUGUAGAGAUCCAUCCAUCAUGAAUCUUAGCAAGCUAGUGGGAGCUAUAAGCGUCUUAUGAGAGAAAGAUCAAAUCGUUUGAUUUCUCAUAAAGAUGUAAAUGAAUCUUUUGUUUACUAGGUUUACAAAAGAUUAGUGGGAGUUAAUCAUAUUCCUAAAUUUGUAUAUAUAUAUAAAUAUAUAUGUGAUAUAUAUGAAUAUAUAUAUAUAUAUAUAUGAUAUAUUAAUUUUGGAAAUGAAAAGAAUACUUCUUCGUUAAAGUUAUGACUUUAAACAUUCUAUAAACGAUAGAAUGUAUAUGGGAGAUAUAGUCUAUAUACAUGGGAUGGAAAUCUAUAAUGAUAUAUUUCAUGAUAUAAUUGGAUUAUAUCAAUCCCUAAUAAUAGACAAUGGAUGUUAGGAGGUUUCUCAUAUGAUGAUAAACUUCAAUUAGAAGGAUGACUCUAGUGUGACCAGCAAGUUGCCAUUCUCAAAGGGAACGUGCCCUUUUGACUCCCAAAGAAAUAAUGCGUAAAUAGAAUCCUUUAUGCAUACGCAUAAAGGUGAUUUAUGUAUUUCAUAUUGUAUGAAAAACAUUGAUAUGAGUUGUACCUAGAACGGUACAAGACGAUAUCAGUGCAAGCCCAGGAUCAGAACCAUGGCAACUGUCAAGUGAGUCCUUAAGUAUUUAAGAAAUACUAAAGGAUAAAUUCCUCAAAGAUCGAGGAAGAAUUAGAGUAACGUAAUGGAAGCGUAAAUGUAUUAGAUUAUGAAUCUAAUCCAUCAUUGGAUGUUUCUUCAUUAUGAAUGAAGAGAUAAACAGAUAUCUCUUUAUUAUGACUAAAGAGAUAUUUGGAUGGAAACAUUAAAGUAAUGACUUUAGUGUGUUCCAUUAUGAAUGCAAAAUAUAUUGCCAUAUAGAAGCUUACAACAAUGUUGUUUGGAUGGGAAAGUUCAUUUAUGAACUCUCUAUUCGGUUCCAACCAGAAAGUGUAUGACACUAAUGGGGCGAUAGCUCAAGCCAGGGAAUCAAGGUCUCAUCAAGAUCCGAACUCAUAUGAGAGACUGAACCACAUGAUUGAGAAUCAUGUAUAAUGGUGACGUCGUUAUUCUCAAGGUUGCUUCUAUGGAUAACAUAUAGAUAUCCAUUGUCUAGGCCUACUAUUCAGCCAUUUAUGAAAUGACUACAGAAGAGGUAUCAUCACUGAUGACUAAGCUGAUUGGCUCUAGUGCAAGUGGGAGAUUGUUGGAAAUGUGCCCUAAAACCAAUCAUAUGAUGAUACUUUACGGACAUUUCACAUGUUAAACUAAUCUAGUUUAAAUAUAAAGGGCAAAGAUUAUUGUUUGAGCCGUCUCAUAUAAAUGUUAUAUGCUUAAACGAUAAAGUCCAAGGAAUAUGUGAUUGGGAGAAUGCAAUCUAAUGAAGUUAGAUUCAUGAGACCAUUCUUUCGUAGACACAUCCUAAAUGUUCCUGAUCAUAGGAUUGCCAAUUGGGCAUUGACAGUCCGUUAAGAUCGGUACGUGCUGUGUCUUCUCUCAGGGAGAGUGACUAGUCUCGAGUCAUUGGUGUGUGUGACAUCAAGACAAGUACGUAGGUGCUCAAUAGAGAAUGAGUUCACUGAACACGAUCAACGAAGAGUUCUCAUAUUCAUGUCACAUGAGAACUCAUGGUUGGGAUAAUGCAAAGUAGUCCUUUGACCUGAGGCAUCACAGUUGUCUUGUGGUUAAGUCCUUGAUCUUUGAUUAUGUCAAAGUCAUUCCAUUGGAGUGUCCACGGCAUCGUUGGGGUUAAGCCACUUAGCCAUGGAGGCAAGUGAAUGCGCAACAAGGGAUCUCUAACCUUCAAACCGUUUGAAGGAGAAUACUCUAUGAUAUGAUUUAGAAAUGUCGUUCUAAAUCACAUUCAAGGUAAUCAUAUAAGCACACGAAUCACAUUGGAUAGUAGACAUGAAUAAAUAAACUAUCAAACCAAACAAUGUGGUCAAGAGUAUUAGAUUAGAGAAAGACCGUAUUGCAUUUGUAAUCCUAAACUGAAUAGGUUCUCCACCUCUUCUGAUUAGCUUGGGUAACCAUGAUAUGCUGCUAGGUGUCACUCAUGGUUUGUGGAAGCCCUAAACGUGUAUAAUCACUAAAGGGAGAAUUGAAAGUAAGUUUCAAUUCACAAUCGAUUGUAAAAUGAGUUUUAAUCGCCCACUGCCUCGCUAAAAGGAACCUAAUGGAUCGUACACCGUGUAAGGUGGAGAUUGAAGAAACAAUGGAGAUGAGUAAGAAUAAUUAAAUGGUUUAAUUAUUUAUGGCAAGGAUUAAUUAAUAUGUUAAUUAAUCAAACGAAUAAGUUCGUUAAAGACCUCGGGAUAGUUUUGGACCUUAAGGCCCAAUGGGCUUUCGAACGUCAAGCCCAUUGACUUAAGUUGUAUGACAAUUUAAUGAAUAAAGAUUCAAAAAGGCCCAAAAGCCCCAAAUCCCUUUAGGUGGCCGGCCAUGAAGGAGAAAAUUGGUUUUGGUUCUUUAGGUCACUUAUUUGAAAGAGACUAUAUAAAGGACUUUAUAGCCUAAAAUUCAUUAAGGGCUUCUUUUUGGAGAAAAUUGGUGAGAACAUGUCUCUCCUUUUCUCUCUAGGAGGAAGGUCACCUUGGAGGGUACAUCUAGCAAUCCUACUACUCCAAGGUCACUCAUUUCUUCUACAAUCUAACCUUGGUGAAGAGACUUAGAGGUUCCCUAUUUUGGGAACUUGGAGAAACCUAUUCUU